UACAGAGGGUGCGAGCGUUGUCCGGAAUCACUGGGCGUAAAGGGCGCGUAGGUGGUGGCUUAAGCGUGCGGUGAAAGCCCGGGGCUCAACCCCGGGUCGGCCGUGCGAACUGUCGAGCUGGAGCACUGUAGAGGCAGGUGGAAUUCCGGGUGUAGCGGUGGAAUGCGUAGAGAUCCGGAAGAACACCGGUGGCGAAGGCGGCCUGCUGGGCAGUGGCUGACGCUGAGGCGCGGCAGCGUGGGGAGCAAACAGG
Molecule: ribosomal RNA, 253 nt
Filed under: uncultured bacterium
Lineage: Bacteria
Description: partial 16S ribosomal RNA
Rfam family: Bacterial small subunit ribosomal RNA
Source: RNAcentral